CCAAGAGAUUGGGCUUCCCCUUCGGGGGCAAAGUGACAGGUGGUGCAUGGUUGUCGUCAGCUCGUGUCGUGAGAUGUUGGGUUAAGUCCCGCAACGAGCGCAACCCUUGAUCUUAGUUGCCAGCAUUAAGUUGGGCACUCUAAGGUGACUGCCGGUGACAAACCGGAGGAAGGUGGGGAUGACGUCAAAUCAUCAUGCCCCUUAUGACCUGGGCUACACACGUGCUACAAUGGAUGGUACAAAGGGCAGCGAAAC
Molecule: ribosomal RNA, 255 nt
Filed under: Shouchella rhizosphaerae
Lineage: Bacteria; Bacillati; Bacillota; Bacilli; Caryophanales; Bacillaceae
Description: partial 16S ribosomal RNA
Rfam family: Bacterial small subunit ribosomal RNA
Source: RNAcentral